CAGCAGCCGCGGUUAUUCUAAGGCGCUUGAGAGAACUCAGGAGAAGGAACUCGGCAAAUUGACACCGUAACUUCGGAAGAAGGUGUGCCUUUAGUAGGUGAAGUCCCUGCGGAUGGAGCCCAAUGAGGUUGCAAAAAAUCGGUGGCUGCGACUGUUUAAUAAAAACACAGCACUCUGCAAACACGAAAGUGGACGUAUAGGGUGUGACGCCUGCCCGGUGCUGGAAGAUUAAAUGAUGGGGUGCAAGCUCUUGAUUGAAGUCCCAGUAAACGGCGGCCGUAACAAUAACGGUCCUAAGGUAGCGAAAUUCCUUGUCGGGUAAGUUCCGACCUGCACGAAUGGCGUAACGAUGGCCGCACUGUCUCCUCCUGAGACUCAGCGAAGUUGAAAUGUUUGUGAUGAUGCAAUCUCCCCGCGGAAAGACGGAAAGACCCCAUGAACCUUUACUGUAGCUUUGUAUUGGACUUUGAACAGAUCUGUGUAGGAUAGGUGGGAGGCUUUGAAGCAGGGUCGCUAGAUCUUGUGGAGCCAACGUUGAAAUACCACCCUGGUGUGUUUGAGGUUCUAACCUAGGUCCAUUAUCUGGAUCGGGGACAGUGCAUGGUAGGCAGUUUGACUGGGGCGGUCUCCUCCCAAAGUGUAACGGAGGAGUUCGAAGGUACGCUAGGUACGGUCGGACAUCGUGCUAAUAGUGCAAUGGCAUAAGCGUGCUUAACUGCGAGACUGACAGGUCGAGCAGAUGCGAAAGCAGGACAUAGUGAUCCGGUGGUUCUGUAUGGAAGGGCCAUCGCUCAACGGAUAAAAGGUACUCUGGGGAUAACAGGCUGAUACCGCCCAAGAGUUCAUAUCGACGGCGGUGUUUGGCACCUCGAUGUCGGCUCAUCUCAUCCUGGGGCUGUAGCCGGUCCCAAGGGUAUGGCUGUUCGCCAUUUAAAGAGGUACGUGAGCUGGGUUUAAAACGUCGUGGGACAGUUUGGUCCCUAUCUUCCGUGGGCGCUGCAGAUUUGAGGAAGCCUGCUCCUAGUACGAGAGGACCGGAGUGGACGCACCUCUGGUGUAUCGGUUGUCACGCCAGUGGCAUUGCCGAGUAGCUAAGUGUGGAAGAGAUAACCGCUGAAAGCAUCUAAGCGGGAAACUCGUUUCAAGAUGAGAUCUGCCGGGGCCUUGAGCCCCCUAAAGAGUCGUUCAAGACCAGGACGUUGAUAGGUCAGGUGUGGAAGCGCAGUAAUGCGUUAAGCUAACUGAUACUAAUUGCUCGUGUGGCUUGACCGA
RNAcentral lists this ribosomal RNA (1272 nucleotides) under metagenome. RNAcentral describes it as "bacterial LSU rRNA". It matches the Rfam family "Bacterial large subunit ribosomal RNA", at positions 1660 to 2925 of the family's 2925-position model. The record is from RNAcentral.